Hemicordylus capensis (graceful crag lizard) is the source of this 5571-nucleotide RNA transcript. It is a transcript of the gene named transcription initiation factor TFIID subunit 3-like, with no coding region annotated. Lineage: Eukaryota; Metazoa; Chordata; Lepidosauria; Squamata; Cordylidae. The transcript has 3 exons. The record is from RefSeq and is a predicted model, not a curated record.
UCCAUUGCACAUGCAAAGCGUACACGCCCCCCAGUGCCCCAAACCAUGCCCCCUGUACCUGAUGUCAGAUGCAAGGGGUGGGGCAAUUAGCAAAGUGUGAUGGCCUCCACUCAGUCAGAAGCCACUGCCGAGCCCAGCAGGGUGCAUCUCUCUUCCUCCCUCUUGGCCGCUCCCUUGACGCCCGCCUGCCAGGGCAGACGGUGUGAGCUUUCUCCCUCUCUCCCUGGCCGGCCUGCCUGUUGUAUGUGGACCUUCUUCCACCAUGGGGAUGGGGGGAAGAAGUGAAACAGCCGCUUCUGCACUGGGAAGGAUGGGAGUGCCCUGCCCAUGCUCCCAAGCCACUGUGGUAGUGACGCCCAUGCUGGAGAAUGGGAAGCAGGACCCAGAAUUGGGGAGAGGAGAGAGGGAGAGCCACGGCUCUUGAAGGCGAAAGGAAAGGGCUGGUGGAAGUGGGUGUCCAGAUGAGGGGGAGAGAGGGAGUCACUGGGGAGAAAGGAUCAAAGAGGAGGGGCCCGGGUUCACAUAGCACCCAGCUGAAAGAGCGGCAGCGCAGGGUGCGCCCCGUCCCCAAGCUAAGGAGAGACUUGUGGGCAGAGGUGCACCUAGGUAUUUCAGAGCCUGGACCUAAAGGCGCCCCCAAUGCAAGUUAAGCAUCAUUUUUCAACAUGUACGUUCUUGAGGGCACACACCACACCUCCCAGGACAGAAUAAAAAGGAUUUGGGGGGCCCCAGGGGAUGUGGAGGCCCUGGACCUUGGCCUGGAGUAAGAGCGCCUCUGCUUGUGGGUCUCAUUUUCCCCCCUUGUCCAAUGGAUGCUACGCCCAUGCCUUUCCCCCACCCCAAAGUGAACUAAGAAUGCCUUGUCACCACUGCCUGGCUUCAUGGCUUAAUCAGAGUGCUUACUUGUGUGCCACUGCCAUUGCUUCAACAUGUCCUGAGAAUGCUGAGCAUCUUCCCACGAUGGGGAAGGUAAUCAUAUUAUCCUUUGCCUCAGGCAGCAAAACGUCUUGGACUGCCCUUGUGUAUGAAGGAGCAGACUAUGCAGAAGCCUUUGUGGGUGUGCUCUCAUUCAUUUCACAUAGCGAAGCAGAAGCAUCUGUCAGGUACCAGGAAAGGGAGAGAAUGGCUCUGCACAGCUGCAGAGAAUUUGGGACAUGUUGAACAAAUAUGAAGAGGAGAGAGAGAGAAUACAUGCAUCAAUACACUUUACCACUUUAUAUUUUCUCUCCCACCACCAUUCCAUGUCAACAGCUUGGUGAGCCUCCAUAUGUAUGCCUUAAAUGCAUGGAUAUACUUGUGAAAUUAAAGAAAAAUGAUUACCAUAAUGAAGAUAUAUUAUUAAGAAUAAAACCCAGAAAUCCAAGUGCUCAAAUUUCAGGGGAAGGAGGAGGCAAAGGGGGAUUUAGCUUCUUCAGAAAGGUCACUUCCCACCCCGCUGAAGAUUUGUUCUAGAUUUGUUCUAUCCAAAGGCCCCUGACCCAUGCCACCCCAUGACAGGAUCUCUGCACCAUUUCUUUCUGUGCUUGUGUGUCUGGCAGAGGAGGACAGUCUAAUAUCCAGUUCUGCAUUGCUUAGUUUACUCUGACUUCCUGUCCUUAAGUAUCAUUAUUAUUAUUUAUUAUUAUUAUUGUUUAAACAGUCAGACAGUUGUUAUUGCCUGGUUUGUUUUAUCCAGACAUCGAGUCCUUCCCAAGGACUUGGAUUGGUUGAAUUUUAUUAUCAAUAUUGUUGCUCUUAUUAUUAUAGAUAUUGUCACAGAAUAUAGGCUGUUCCCAGUAAAGCUGCUUUUUGUAUUUGGCUGGUGGUGAUUUCUGUGGCCCCUAUGGUGUUAAGGUGCUCUUCAAGGUGUUUUUGGAAUUGCACUGAGGGCACCAAUUUAUUAUUAUUAUUAUUAUUAUUAUUAUUAUUAUUAUUAUUAUUAUUAUUAUUAUUAUUUCUUGUUUACACAGUCAGACAGGUGUUAUUGACUGGUUUGUUUUAUCCAGACAUCGAGGCCUUCCCAAGGACCUGGGAUGCCAGAAUUUUAUCAUCAAUACUGUUGGUUAUUAUAGAUAUUGUUGCAAAAUAUAGGCUGUUCCCAGUAAAGCUGCUUUUUGUAAUUGGCUGAGGGUGAUUUCUGUGGCCCCUAUGGUGUUGAGGUGCUCUUCAAGGUCUUUUGGAACUGCACCCAGGGCGCCAAUUACCACUGGGAUUAUUUUGGUCUUUUUCUGCCACAGCCUUUCAAUUUCAAUUUGUAGAUCUUUGUAUUUGGUGAUUUUUUUCUAUUUCUUUUUCUUCUAUUCUGCUAUCCCCUGGUAUUGCUAUGUCGAUUAUUUCGACUUGUUUUUCUUUCUUCUCGACUACAGUUAUAUCUGGUGUAUUGUGUGGCAGAUGUUUGUCUGUUUGUAGUCGGAAGUCCCAUAGUAUUUUUACAUCUUCAUUUUCUUCAACUUUUUCAAUUUGAUGGUCCCACCAAUUUUUGGCUACAGGUAGCUUGUAUUUUUUGCAGAUGUUCCAGUGUAUCAUCCCUGCUACCUUGUCAUGCCUUUGUUUGUAGUCAGUCUGUGCGAUCUUUUUACAACAGCUGAUUAGGUGGUCCACUGUUUCAUCUGCUUCUUUACAAGGCGGCACUUGCUGUUUGUUGUGGAUUUUUUGACUUUUGCUCUUAUUGCAUUUGUUCUUAGUGCCUGUUCUUGCGCAGCCAGUAUUAAACCCUCUGUUUCUUUCUUCAAGCAACCAUUCUUAAGCCAUUGCCAGGUCUUGGUGAUGUCUGAUUUUCCACUUAUAUUGUGCAAAUAUUGACCAUGCAGUGGCUUAUUUUUCCAUUUUUCUGCUUGGUUCUUGACUUGUUCUUUCUUGUAGGCCUGCUUUGUUUCAUUGGUGUUGAAUAGUUUUGCAUUAUUGACCAUUUGAAGUGCAUCUUCUUCACUGUCCUUGAUAUAUUCUUCAAGGCCUCUUUUCUCCUCCUCUACUGUUUGAUGGACUUGCAGCAUUCCUCUUCCAACUGAGCUGCGAGGGAGGUAUAGCCUAUUGACAUCACUGCGGGGGUGCAGAGCAUUAUUGAUGGUCAUGAUUUUCCUGGUCUUACGAUCUAACGUCUCUAGCUGUGCCUGAGUCCAGUCUGGUGGCGCAGUGGUAAAACUGCCGCCCUGUAACCAGAAGGUUACAAGUUCGAUCCUGACCAGGGGCUCAAGGUUGACUCAGCCUUCCAUCCUUCCGUGGUCGGUAAAAUGAGUACCCAGAAUGUUGGGGGCGAUAUGCUAAAUCAUUGUAAACCGCUUAGAGAGCUCCGGCUAUAGAGCGGUAUAUAAAUGUAAGUGCUAUUGCUAUUGCUAUUGCUAUUAUUCUUGCACUGUAUCUGAUAACAGGUAUAGCCCAGGUGUUUAUGGCUUGUAUGGUGUUCCCGCCAUUGGGUUUGGACUUGAGGAUUUUUCUAACUCUCCUGAUGUAUUCACAUCCAAUUUUUCUUUUAACUUCAGUGUGUGCAAUGUUAUCAGCCUGGAGAAUGCCCAAGUAUUUGUAAGGUUCUUUCUCUUCCAGGUUCUUGAUGUUGCUUCCAUUGGGCAGUUCUAUUCCUUCUGUUUUUCUUAUUUUCCCUCUGUUCAUUAUUAAUUCAGCACACUUGUCUAGUCCAGACUCCAUUGCUAUAUCGCUACUGAAUAUACGGACAGUGUUUAGCAGUGAUUCGAUUUCUGACUGGGACUUUCCAUACAACUUCAGAUCGUCCAUGUACAGCAGAUGGUUGAUUUUACUUGAUGUUUUAGAUGUUUGGUAUCCAAGGCCUGUUUUGUUUAGUAUUUGUGAAAGUGGGGUCAUGGCAAUUACAAACAACAGAGGGGACAGUGAGUCCCCUUGGAAAAUGCCUCUUUUAAUGCUAACCUGUCCAAGUGUUUCACCAUUGAUUGUUAACUGUGUACUCCACAUGCUAAUUGUUUUUUUUUAUAAAUAUCUGAAUGUUUUUGCUGACACUAGUUGUUUCUAAACAUUUUAGUAUCCAUGUGUGAGGCAAUGAAUCGAAGGCUUUCUUGUAGUCAAUCCAUGCAACACUUAGAUUUGUUUUUCUUCUCUUGCAGUUUUCUAAAAUCAUUUUGUCAAUCAGCAGCUGGUCUUUUGUGCCUCUGGUGUUUGGGCAAUUUCCUUUCUGUUCAACUGGAAGCUGUUGUUGUUGUUAAUAAUAAUAAUAAUAAUAAUAAUAAUAAUAAUAACAACAACAUUUAUAAACCGCCAAAGGCUCUGGGAGGUGUACAACAACUUUUAAAAGACAUAAAAACACACAAUUCAAAACAAAAUGCUAAAAAAUAUAUAAACAAUUCAAAAACAGUUAAAACCAUUUAAAGUCAAUUAAAAUCUUUUAAAAAACAACAACACUUUACAAGCCUUGGAAAGCCAGGCCAAACAAAUAAGUGUUUAGGGCUCUCUUAAAGGCCAACAGCGAGUUAUCUGUGGUUAUCUGCGGUUAUCUGCCGGAAGUGCAUUCCAUAGACCAGGAGCAACAACAGAAAAGGCCUGGUUCCGAGUCACCACCUGACGUACCGGUGGUAACUGGAGAUGGACUUCUCCAGAUGACCUCAACGAGUGAUGGGGAUCAUACCAAAGAAGGUGCUCUCUAAGGUAGCCCAGACCCAAGCCACCCUCCAAAGUAAGUAGCUGCCCCUUUUUCCUUCCCAUGUGCUUGGUUUGGUCAGAUACCCACUCGUGUCAAUCAGCUCUCCUCUCUGACCAGCUCUCUUCUCUAGAUUUGAUGUGAGAGCAAAAAGCACUGCUGAAGAUUCCCAUUAAUGCAGGCGCGUAACAAUGAUAGGGCAAGGGGAGACAGUUGUCUGGGGGCCCCACUGCCUGGAGGGGCACCCCAGAGGCACCUCAUGUGACUCCCCAUUGCCCCCUGCCCAGCCCCAUAGCCUCUCAGCCACUUGUCCUCUUCACCGUCUCUCCUGCUUGUUCUGCAGGCCCGCAAUGGAAGCAGCAGACAAGCUGCAAAGAGCUCCUUUUCUCCCGCCUCUCAGCUGAUCGGCGGGUGGGCGGGGCUUCCACUGAGGCCUCCGUGUAGGCCGCAGUGAAGCCUGAACUCGAGUAGGGCCCAAGCAAGCCAGGAAGGAGGAGGCAGCCAGAGUGUUCUCUGCAGCAGAAGACCCCUUGCUGCCCUGCUUAACCCAGACCAGCAUUUGCCAGUUUGAAAGAAAGAAAGGAAGGAAGGAAGGAAGGAAGGAAGGAAGAAAGGAAGGAAGGAAGGAAGGAAGGAAGGAAGGAAGAAAGAAAGAAAGAAAGAAAGAAAGAAAGAAAGAAAGAAAGAAAGAAAGAAAAUGAGAACAGAGAACUGAGCUACGUGACCCUUCCUUGGAAUUGCCAUCAAGAGAUGUACUUGGAAACAAAGGAGUGUGUGCACAAGCCAACACUAAAUGGUGGGGGUUGAGAGUCCCAUUUGAGAUAAACUGCAGAACAAACUUGAAACCUGGCUUGCAUAACAGAUGUGAUUGCUCCCUGGUAUACCCUAAUCCAGGAGCUUCUUCUUUUUUUUCCAAAUUCAAUUUUUAUUAAUUUUAACAAUAAUAAUAUUGUCAUUGAUUACAAAUAGACAAAAGUGGACUUCCCGCA